Molecule: ribosomal RNA, 253 nt
Filed under: uncultured bacterium
Lineage: Bacteria
Description: partial 16S ribosomal RNA
Rfam family: Bacterial small subunit ribosomal RNA
Source: RNAcentral
UACGGGGGGGGCAAGCGUUGUUCGGAAUUACUGGGCGUAAAGGGCUCGUAGGCGGCCAACUAAGUCAGACGUGAAAUCCCUCGGCUUAACCGGGGAACUGCGUCUGAUACUGGAUGGCUUGAGAUUGGGAGAGGGAUGCGGAAUUCCAGGUGUAGCGGUGAAAUGCGUAGAUAUCUGGAGGAACACCGGUGGCGAAGGCGGCAUCCUGGACCAACACUGACGCUGAGGAGCGAAGGCUAGGGGAGCAAACAGG